CCAUGCCGCGUGUGUGAAGAAGGUCUUCGGAUUGUAAAGCACUUUAAGUUGGGAGGAAGGGCAGUUACCUAAUACGUAUCUGUUUUGACGUUACCGACAGAAUAAGCACCGGCUAACUCUGUGCCAGCAGCCGCGGUAAUACAGAGGUGCAAGCGUUAAUCGGAAUACUGGGCGUAAAGCGCGCGUAGGUGGUUUGUUAAGUUGGAUGUGAAAUCCCCGGGCUCAACCUGGGAACUGCAUUCAAAACUGACUGACUAGAGUAUGGUAGAGGGUGGUGGAAUUUCCUGUGUAGCGGUGAAAUGCGUAGAUAUAGGAAGGAACACCAGUGGCGAAGGCGACCACCUGGACUAAUACUGACACUGAGGUGCGAAAGCGUGGGGAGCAGACAGGAUUAGAUACCCUGGUAGUCCACGCCGUAAACGAUGUCAACUAGCCGUUGGAAGCCUUGAGCUUUUAGUGGCGCAGCUAACGCAUUAAGUUGACCGCCUGGGGAGUACGGCCGCAAGGUUA
RNAcentral lists this ribosomal RNA (510 nucleotides) under uncultured Pseudomonadota bacterium. Its description in RNAcentral is "bacterial SSU rRNA". It matches the Rfam family "Bacterial small subunit ribosomal RNA", at positions 392 to 896 of the family's 1533-position model. Lineage: Bacteria; Pseudomonadati; Pseudomonadota. The record is from RNAcentral.